This 234-nucleotide ribosomal RNA is filed under the name uncultured bacterium. RNAcentral describes it as "partial 16S ribosomal RNA". It matches the Rfam family "Bacterial small subunit ribosomal RNA", at positions 100 to 334 of the family's 1533-position model. The record is from RNAcentral.
CGGGACGGGUGAGUAAUGUCGUGGGAAACUGCCUGAGGAGGGGGAAUAACUACUGGAAACGGUAGCUAAUACCGCAUAACGUCGCAAGACCAAAGAGGGGGACCUUCGGGCCUCUUGCCAUCGGAUGUGCCCAGAUGGGAUUAGCUAGUAGGUGGGGUAACGGCUCACCUAGGCGACGAUCCCUAGCUGGUCUGAGAGGAUGACCAGCCACACUGGAACUGAGACACGGUCCAG